This is a long non-coding RNA of Herpailurus yagouaroundi (jaguarundi), 732 nucleotides long. RefSeq lists it as uncharacterized. The transcript has 4 exons. Lineage: Eukaryota; Metazoa; Chordata; Mammalia; Carnivora; Felidae. The record is from RefSeq and is a predicted model, not a curated record.
AAGAGAACCCCUACCACUCCUACGCCUCCCCAGAAACCCGGGGAGCAGGAGCAGGAGCAGAAGCACACUCGGGCCAGAGGGCGCGCGGCCGAGCCGGAGCCACGUUUCUCCGCGCCAGCGUGGUUAGCGCUUCCCGGCGGCGAGCUCCCUCGGAAACUGCGCACGUGUGGGCAGCCUUGGCCGCCGCCCUGCACGGACCAGAGGACACCUCUCGCCGCGGCUCGGACAGGGGGCGCGCCGGCGGGAGCCACGAAGAGCUGGGACCCCCCGAGCGCUACGGUCGCGUGGGCAGACGUGUAUCCUGUUAUGCACGGCAUGUCUCUCCUGACCUCUAAUCACACGUGCGUCUCAGGGGUGGACCUCAGUUUCAGCUGCUGUUGGAGAACACUUGCAGACCAAUUGUGAACUUACAGAUAAGGAAACUGAGGCUCCGAGAAAUCAAGAAACACGAACGAUGGCAUCUAUGAAGUCUGGCUCUGGAGCUCAAGCUCCAGAUGACUGCCCUGAAUUGCCUCACCUUUACAAGAGAGAAGCUCUCCAGGCCAGAGGCUGCUUGCUUGAGGCUGUGUCCCGGAGGACGAUUUGAGACCCCAAAGCACCCUCGAGCUGCAAUUCUGCGCCAGGGCUUGAAGCUUCCAGACUAAGUCUUGCUUCUUGUUCAAUUAAAAAAACAAACCGGGGCGCCUGGGUGGCUCAGUCGGUUAAGCGUCCGAUUUCAGCCCGGGUCAUGAU